RNAcentral lists this long non-coding RNA (817 nucleotides) under Homo sapiens (human). RNAcentral's name for it is "HSALNT0203780". Lineage: Eukaryota; Metazoa; Chordata; Mammalia; Primates; Hominidae. The record is from RNAcentral.
AAAAUUACAAAAAGCGGUAGACUUUUACUUUGUGAUCCAGCGCAUGAGGAGCUUGGAAGUCACCACCUGUCCUAGCAACAAGGAAAAACUGAACAAACUGAAAAAUCAACAACUCCUCUUGGAUCUGUCAGAGAAGCGAGGUCACAGGGCAAAUUGCUGUCCCCCAAAUUGGUGAGACAGACUGCGAAUACAGAGAACCACAGCUUAGAGCAGAAGCUCCACAGAAACCAGUGCCUAAACUGAAAUCGACAAAUUACUGGAGGCUCCCAACUCUCCCUCACACCUGACAUACAAUCAGAUCAGCAUAUUGUUUUCUCUCACUCUAAAUUCACCUCCUCUUGCUGCCACCUGGGUCCAAGCCGCCAUUCUCUUUCCUGGAAUACCGCAGUAGCCUUGUAACAGGGUCUUCCAACUUCCUUAAACUUUGUGCCUCACCUGGCGGUCUGGAUGAGCCUUUUGCAAUCUUGUAGAUUUUCAGUGGAAACUGGGUAUGGCUGUGAGCUCAGACACUUGCAGAUCUCUUAAGUAUCCUUACGUUGCAGUGAUGCUAAAAGUGGCAGAUCAUUCAGGCCAAGUAAAGACCAAGUGCUUUGAAAUGACGAUUCCACAGUUUCAGAAUUUCUACAGACAGUUCAAGGAAAUUGCUGCAGUUAUUGAAACGGUGUGAAGACGGAUUCUUUGGUUGAUAAAUUGCUAUCAUUCUAAAGUCAUGGACUUCACUUUCGGCAACAAAACUAAAUAAGGAUGGAACAUUUAUUGAAUGAAAAAUGCACUUUUGUUUUUCCAUUUUUUUAAAUAAUAAAAAUCAGACAAACAG